AAAAAAAAAUGGACACUGAAUUUUUUCUGUCCUCCUGUCAACAGCUGCGCUUGAGGGGACUACAUCCCUCCCCCUUUUACAACAUCUCUAUUUUAAGAGAGGAAUUGAUAACAUUCAACCGCAAAUAUUAAUACAGAAUACAUGACAUUUACAAACCAAACUUUUUUGGUCUCAAAUAAGUGGAAGAGCCUUGUCGCAGCCCUGGCAUAGAGACUUGCUGCUGCUGCUUUGCCCUCUUUUGCCUUUCCCUUUCCUUGCUCUCUUUC
Molecule: unclassified non-coding RNA, 266 nt
Filed under: Hevea brasiliensis (rubber tree)
Lineage: Eukaryota; Viridiplantae; Streptophyta; Magnoliopsida; Malpighiales; Euphorbiaceae
Source: RNAcentral